GACGAGGCACUACGGUGCUGAAGCAACAAAUGCCCUGCUUCCAGGAAAAGCCUCUAAGCAUCAGGUAACAUCAAAUCGUACCCCAAACCGACACAGGUGGUCAGGUAGAGAAUACCAAGGCGCUUGAGAGAACUCGGGUGAAGGAACUAGGCAAAAUGGUGCCGUAACUUCGGGAGAAGGCACGCUGACACGUAGGUGAAGUGAUUUACUCAUGGAGCUGAAGUCAGUCGAAGAUACCAGCUGGCUGCAACUGUUUAUUAAAAACACAGCACUGUGCAAACACGAAAGUGGACGUAUACGGUGUGACGCCUGCCCGGUGCCGGAAGGUUAAUUGAUGGGGUCAGCGCAAGCGAAGCUCCUGAUCGAAGCCCCGGUAAACGGCGGCCGUAACUAUAACGGUCCUAAGGUAGCGAAAUUCCUUGUCGGGUAAGUUCCGACCUGCACGAAUGGCGUAAUGAUGGCCAGGCUGUCUCCACCCGAGACUCAGUGAAAUUGAACUCGCUGUGAAGAUGCAGUGUACCCGCGGCAAGACGGAAAGACCCCGUGAACCUUUACUAUAGCUUGACACUGAACAUUGAGCCUUGAUGUGUAGGAUAGGUGGGAGGCUUUGAAGCGUGGACGCCAGUCUGCGUGGAGCCGACCUUGAAAUACCACCCUUUAAUGUUUGAUGUUCUAACGUGGACCCGUAAUCCGGGUUGCGGACAGUGUCUGGUGGGUAGUUUGACUGGGGCGGUCUCCUCCUAAAGAGUAACGGAGGAGCACGAAGGUUGGCUAAUCCUGGUCGGACAUCAGGAGGUUAGUGCAAUGGCAUAAGCCAGCUUGACUGCGAGCGUGACGGCGCGAGCAGGUGCGAAAGCAGGUCAUAGUGAUCCGGUGGUUCUGAAUGGAAGGGCCAUCGCUCAACGGAUAAAAGGUACUCCGGGGAUAACAGGCUGAUACCGCCCAAGAGUUCAUAUCGACGGCGGUGUUUGGCACCUCGAUGUCGGCUCAUCACAUCCUGGGGCUGAAGUAGGUCCCAAGGGUAUGGCUGUUCGCCAUUUAAAGUGGUACGCGAGCUGGGUUUAGAACGUCGUGAGACAGUUCGGUCCCUAUCUGCCGUGGGCGCUGGAGAACUGAGGGGGGCUGCUCCUAGUACGAGAGGACCGGAGUGGACGCAUCACUGGUGUUCGGGUUGUCAUGCCAAUGGCACUGCCCGGUAGCUAAAUGCGGAAGAGAUAAGUGCUGAAAGCAUCUAAGCACGAAACUUGCCCCGAGAUGAGUUCUCCCUGAGACUUAGAGUCUCCUGAAGGAACGUUGAAGACGACGACGUUGAUAGGCCGGGUGUGUAAGCGCAGCGAUGCGUUGAGCUAACCGGUACUAAUGAACCGUGAGGCUUAACCUUAC
RNAcentral lists this ribosomal RNA (1383 nucleotides) under Salmonella enterica subsp. enterica serovar Thompson. RNAcentral's name for it is "partial 23S ribosomal RNA". It matches the Rfam family "Bacterial large subunit ribosomal RNA", at positions 1568 to 2925 of the family's 2925-position model. Lineage: Bacteria; Pseudomonadati; Pseudomonadota; Gammaproteobacteria; Enterobacterales; Enterobacteriaceae. The record is from RNAcentral.